Long non-coding RNA from Anguilla rostrata (American eel), 2230 nucleotides. RefSeq lists it as uncharacterized. The transcript has 2 exons. NCBI's taxonomy places the organism in Eukaryota, Metazoa, Chordata, Actinopteri, Anguilliformes, Anguillidae. The record is from RefSeq and is a predicted model, not a curated record.
AGAAGUCUAUAACCAUGGCCAGCCCUGCCAAAAUAGCAAAAGAAGAGUCCGAAACAUUAGAAGGCUUUUUGCACUGUGUCUUGCCGAGCACAGUUUCAAAGCGCAAUGUAAAAUACUUUAAUGCAGUGCUUCAAACUGGUAGAGAUGAAUAUCAUAAAGUUUUGCUCAAGCCUGCAAAAACAUCACGGCAGUGAAGCUGAGGAACGUGAAGCGAAGCAUUAGUAAGUCGUAAUUUUUUUUAAAUGAAAGUAAAUACAACAGGCAAUUGUAAUUCACACCAAGUGGUCAUUUAGCCUAAAUUGAAAUCAUGUUUACUGAUUGUUGUUAUGUUUUCUAGGCUUCUCGGAUCCUGCCGGGUUUCACAUCCUAUGCAACAGAGCUACCAGCUUCCAGGUGGUCAAGGUGCCAUUUUUGCCAACGGUCCCUCCCAGCAGUUCAAAACUGUACAUUGCCAAGGUGCAAGCGCUUGGACCUAGGCAAACUGUCAGUGUCAUGGAAGCGAAAAUUCUGGCCCAGGGAACCCUGAGCAAAGUUGUCCCUGUGAAUGGAACAGACUGCGAGCUAAAAGUAUUCCAGAUCGGCGAUUCAUCAGGACAGGUGAAACUUACUUUGUGGGACAAACAGAUUAUUCAAGUGGGUGCUUUGAAAUCCUAAAAGUUAACCUAUCGACAAGAGAAAGGAAAGGAGGAAUAUAUCUGUCGGGGAGUCCAUCCACUACGAUCACAGAGGCUGAUUGCAGUGAACUUGGUGAGGGCGAGAAGCUUUCCAAAUUGUCAGGAACUGUUAGUGGAAUACAGGUGAUCUGCAAACGUCGCUGUCCAAAAUGCCAGACACCCCAGGAUGAGUUCAAAGCCAAGUCAUCGGUCCACAGAUGUGAGUGCUGCAAACUGCUGCAGAAGUCAUGCUGCUACUCCACAACAGUAUAGAGGCACCAUGUCACUGACAAUCAACGGCACAGAUCAUGGACUGACGGUCACAAAUUCCGCAAUUAGUGCGUACUUCACUGAGUAUAACGUGCCAUCUACUGAAUGACAUGGAGGAGCUCUUCAUUAAUGUUGCUGAGUUUAAUGUUUCUGUCAAUGAAAAGAGCUUGAUCACGACAAUCAAGCAGCGUUUUGAAAAGAAUGAGGACACUUCUGCGAAGGAUGAUGGUGGUCCUGGAAACGCUGUUGAUGGAUUCAGGGUUUCCGCCAGUGUAUUGCAAGCCCGGCGGCCCACCGGGCCUAAGUUGACCCCCGCCGGGCCUAAGCAUCGGAGAAUUUAAAAAAUUAAAAAAAUGUAUGUAUGUUUAAGAUGUUUUUCAAACUACAGUUACAGUGGGGCGGCUCAAUUGAAAAGCUCACCAGCGACAUCUGUUGGUUAAAACGUGAACGCACUGUAGGAAAGCAGGUCUGAGGUCAGUGUUCUUUACCCUCAUUGUGCGCAGAGUGACGUUCAACACUCGACGCUUCCAACUAACACAAGCUAACGUUACCUAGCAAGCCACCAUUUCGUAUUUAGUAGGCUAACUAACCUCGUUACAAACUGCGUUAUCACUUCAUCUCGUCGGUAAGUAAAUUCUUUUUAUAUUAACUUAAGCAGUGUGUAGGUAACGUUAAAAUAGUAGCAUGAAUGUAACAUUCGAUAUAUUGUAACAUUACAUGACUUAUUCAUUGCCAUCGAAAUCACAACUUCACUUGUUUAUUAAUAACGUUAGCUUGAUGACAUUGAUGUGCACGACAACGUUGUCAUAAAGUUUUUCCCGACCGUGAAAAGUGCCUGACUUGUUUACAUUUUGGGCAGAUGUGGCUACAUAGUAAAUCCAUUGUUGUUUUCAUUGCAGCACUUUCGACACAAGUAAUAUCGGAAAAAUCCUAAAAUUUCUUCUUAUGGUGAAGAGUGCCUGACCGGCAAAUGUAAAAAUGUGUUAACACAGCGGCAAAAAGGAGGAAAGGUAACCUACUGUAAAAGCCAAAAAACCUUAGACAGUUUUUUAAAUGUGCUCAGCAUUCCAAGGUUUGUUGUAAGAUUCAGUAGGCAAUCAGGACUUGAAUACAAGUUUUUUGUAGAGUGCAAAAACUUUGAUAUUAUUUAUUUAAAUUUAAUUUAAUUUCUUUUGUUGUUGAAGAAACCACAGCAUUCCAAGACUGUACAUUGUUGUCAGAUUCUUUGUAAGACUCUGCUAUGCUGUAAAUAGUUGUUGAUUUUUUAAAAUGUGUGUUGAAUAAAUUACUUAUUUAUAACAACAUUC